UCGGCUUCAUAUGAAAUGUGAUAAAAAAUGCCAUCAUAGUUCAGUGAGGGAAGCAAAGUUCCUGUUGAAGAUAAUCUCUAAACAUGAACAUCUCUCNNNNNNNNNNNNNNNNNNNNCAAAGUUCCUGUUGAAGAUAAUCUCUAAACAUGAACAUCUCUCUCUCUCUCUCUCUCUCUCUCUAAACUUUAUUACAGGGAGCUGUUAGAAAUCUAAAGUGCCUUCUCGUCACCCUGUCUACAAUUACAGGUGGGCACAGGCAUCACCGCCUGUUUACAGAACUAACAACAAGAGUAAUUGUGACGAUGGUGAUGCCAGUAAUAACAGCAACAACAACAAUAACAGUAACAAAUGAAUGAAUAAGUCAGCCUGUGGAGACGAACCCUGUCACUGGACACCAUGUACAGCGUGGAAGAGCAGCACCCAGCCUUCCCUUGGCGAGUGCGACCGCCAUUGCUUGCCGAAAAUGGGGAAAAAACAAGACCAGAGAGGCCGGCCAUCAUUC
This 502-nucleotide long non-coding RNA is filed under the name Spirodela polyrhiza (greater duckweed). RNAcentral describes it as "long non-coding RNA (SPOL_LNC000743)". Lineage: Eukaryota; Viridiplantae; Streptophyta; Magnoliopsida; Alismatales; Araceae. The record is from RNAcentral.